GAUGAACGCUGGCGGCGUGCCUAACACAUGCAAGUCGAGCGAAGCACUUUGCUUAGAUUCUUCGGAUGAAGAGGAUUGUGACUGAGCGGCGGACGGGUGAGUAACGCGUGGGUAACCUGCCUCAUACAGGGGGAUAACAGUUAGAAAUGACUGCUAAUACCGCAUAAGACCACAGCACCGCAUGGUGCAGGGGUAAAAACUCCGGUGGUAUGAGAUGGACCCGCGUCUGAUUAGCUAGUUGGUAAGGUAACGGCUUACCAAGGCGACGAUCAGUAGCCGACCUGAGAGGGUGACCGGCCACAUUGGGACUGAGACACGGCCCAAACUCCUACGGGAGGCAGCAGUGGGGAAUAUUGCACAAUGGGGGAAACCCUGAUGCAGCGACGCCGCGUGAGCGAAGAAGUAUUUCGGUAUGUAAAGCUCUAUCAGCAGGGAAGAAAAUGACGGUACCUGACUAAGAAGCACCGGCUAAAUACGUGCCAGCAGCCGCGGUAAUACGUAUGGUGCAAGCGUUAUCCGGAUUUACUGGGUGUAAAGGGAGCGUAGACGGAUGGGCAAGUCUGAUGUGAAAACCCGGGGCUCAACCCCGGGACUGCAUUGGAAACUGUUCAUCUAGAGUGCUGGAGAGGUAAGUGGAAUUCCUAGUGUAGCGGUGAAAUGCGUAGAUAUUAGGAGGAACACCAGUGGCGAAGGCGGCUUACUGGACAGUAAC
RNAcentral lists this ribosomal RNA (712 nucleotides) under uncultured Lachnospiraceae bacterium. Its description in RNAcentral is "bacterial SSU rRNA". It matches the Rfam family "Bacterial small subunit ribosomal RNA", at positions 28 to 740 of the family's 1533-position model. The record is from RNAcentral. Lineage: Bacteria; Bacillati; Bacillota; Clostridia; Lachnospirales; Lachnospiraceae.